This is a non-coding RNA of Cinara cedri, 416 nucleotides long. The record is from the annotation of a GenBank genome assembly. NCBI's taxonomy places the organism in Eukaryota, Metazoa, Arthropoda, Insecta, Hemiptera, Aphididae.
GUACCUCAAUGCAUACCUAUCCGAACAUCCCAUCUACAAUAUUUACCUACCCCAGGACGGUGCGAAGUAUGUCGAAAAUGUAUUUCUGUAUGCGAUUUAAACAGGUUCUGCGAGUUUAUAAGCUCUCCGUCUCAUCGGGCAGUCACUAUUAAUGUAUGCCUAUCCUAAAAGCCCGAACCAAAACAAUGAUCUGCCCAUAGUAAUAGUGCGUGGUUGUAUAAAUAAUGUACUUUAAACGGCGAGUGGGAGAGCUGGUAGCGGAAUGGUGUUGUGAAUAAAGGUAGCGAUGCAUAGAUAUACUGGUGUACAAAAUAAUAUCGAGCCCAUCUAUAGAACGGCAACAUGUGUUCCCCGGCCGAAUAUAAUGUACAUAUAUAUAUAAUGAAGCCGAACGGGAUAUUUUUAAUGAAAAGUCG